AUUGAACGCUGGCGGCAUGCUUUACACAUGCAAGUCGAACGGUAACAGGCCUUCGGGUGCUGUCGCGUGGCGAACGGGUGAGUAAUGCAUCGGAAAGUACCCAGCGGUGGGGGAAAACGCAGCGCAAGCUGUGCUAAUACCGCAUAGGAUCUGAGGCUGAAAGCGGGGGACCGAGCAGCAAUGUUUGGCCUCGCGCCUUUCGUGCGGCCGAUGUCGCAUUAGCUAGUUGGUGGGGUAAAGGCCUACCAAGGCGACGAUCCGUAGCUGGUCUGAGAUGACGACCAGCCACACUGGGACUGAGACACGGCCCAGACUCCUACGGGAGGCAGCAGUGGGGAAUUUUGGACAAUGGGCGCAAGCCUGAUCCAGCAAUGCCGCGUGCGGGAAGAAGGCCUUCGGGUGGUAAACCGCUUUUGGCAGGAACGAAACGGUGUCCGCUAAUACCGGGCGCUAAUGACGGUACCUGCAGAAUAAGCACCGGCUAACUACUUG
Molecule: ribosomal RNA, 492 nt
Filed under: uncultured bacterium
Lineage: Bacteria
Description: partial 16S ribosomal RNA
Rfam family: Bacterial small subunit ribosomal RNA
Source: RNAcentral